UGGGAUGUCGCCAAGUGGUAAGGCACAUGGUUUUGGUCCAUGCAUUCGGGGGGUUCGAAUCCCUCCAUCCCAGCCA
This 76-nucleotide transfer RNA is filed under the name Rickettsia endosymbiont of Ixodes persulcatus. RNAcentral describes it as "tRNA-Gln". It matches the Rfam family "tRNA". From Rfam's summary of the family: Transfer RNA (tRNA) molecules are approximately 80 nucleotides in length. Lineage: Bacteria; Pseudomonadati; Pseudomonadota; Alphaproteobacteria; Rickettsiales; Rickettsiaceae. The record is from RNAcentral.